CAAAAACAUCGCCUCCCGCAAACAACGUAUAGGAGGUCUUACCUGCCCAGUGACGUUAAAUGGCCGCGGUAUUUUAACCGUGCAAAGGUAGCGCAAUCACUUGUCUUUUAAAUGAAGACUUGUAUGAAUGGUGAAACGAGGGCUUAACUGUCUCCCCCCUCUAGUCAAUGAAAUUGAUCUACCCGUGCAGAAGCGGGUAUAAUAAUACAAGACGAGAAGACCCUUUGGAGCUUAAGCUAAAAAAUCAACUAUGUUAACUGAUUUUAAUCUUCGGUUGGGGUGACCACGGGAGAAAAUAAAGCUCCCACGCAGACAAGGAUCCUAAACUAAGAGAGACAUCUCUAAGGCACAGAAUAUCUGACCGAUCCAGCUAAAUGCUGACCAACGGACCAAGUUACCCUAGGGAUAACAGCGCAAUCCCCUUCCAGAGUCCAUAUCGACAAGGGGGUUUACGACCUCGAUGUUGGAUCAGGACAUCCUAAUGGUGCAGCCGCUAUUAAGGGUUC
This 506-nucleotide ribosomal RNA is filed under the name Cordylancistrus torbesensis. RNAcentral describes it as "partial large subunit ribosomal RNA". It matches the Rfam family "Bacterial large subunit ribosomal RNA", at positions 1808 to 2574 of the family's 2925-position model. The record is from RNAcentral. Lineage: Eukaryota; Metazoa; Chordata; Actinopteri; Siluriformes; Loricariidae.